CAAUAGCGUAUAUUAAAGUUGUUGCGGUUAAAAAGCUCGUAGUUGGAUUUCUGCUGAGAACGACCGGUCCGCCCUUUGGGUGUGUAUCUGGCUCUUUCUUGGCAUCUUCUUGGUGAACGUUGCUGCACUUGACUGUGUGGAGCGCUACCCAGGACUUUUACUUUGAGGAAAUUAGAGUGUUUCAAGCAGGCAUACGCCUUGAAUACAUUAGCAUGGAAUAAUAAGAUAGGACCUCGGUUCUAUUUUGUUGGUUUCUAGGGCUGAGAUAAUGAUUAAUAGGGAUAAUUGGGGGCAUCUGUAUCAACGCGUCAGAGGUGGAAUUCUUGGAUUGCGUUGCGACAAACUACUGCGAAAGCAUUUGCCAAGGAUGUUUUCAUUAA
RNAcentral lists this ribosomal RNA (380 nucleotides) under uncultured eukaryote. RNAcentral describes it as "partial 18S ribosomal RNA". It matches the Rfam family "Eukaryotic small subunit ribosomal RNA", at positions 592 to 976 of the family's 1831-position model. The record is from RNAcentral.